CAGUAGCCACGGGAAAACGAGGGGGGCAAGCGUUGUUCGGAUUUAUUGGGCGUAAAGGGUGCGUAGGCGGUUUGGCAAGUCUCGUGUGAAAUCUAUGGGCUCAACCCAUAGCCUGCACGAGAAACUACCGGGCUUGAGUAUUGGAGAGGUGAGUGGAAUUUCCGGUGUAGCGGUGAAAUGCGUAGAUAUUGGGAAGAACACCGGUGGCGAAGGCGGCAAUCUGGCUCAUUACUGACGCUGAGGCGCGAAAGCGUGGGGAGCAAAUAGGAUUAGAUACCCCCGUAGUCCCUGUCUCUUAUAC
RNAcentral lists this ribosomal RNA (301 nucleotides) under uncultured bacterium. RNAcentral's name for it is "partial 16S ribosomal RNA". It matches the Rfam family "Bacterial small subunit ribosomal RNA", at positions 509 to 807 of the family's 1533-position model. The record is from RNAcentral.